CAGCCGCCACGGUAAUACGGAGGGUGCAAGCGUUAUCCGGAUUUAUUGGGUUUAAAGGGUCCGUAGGCGGAUCUGUAAGUCAGUGGUGAAAUCUCACAGCUUAACUGUGAAACUGCCAUUGAUACUGCAGGUCUUGAGUAAAUUUGAAGUGGCUGGAAUAAGUAGUGUAGCGGUGAAAUGCAUAGAUAUUACUUAGAACACCAAUUGCGAAGGCAGGUCACUAAGAUUUAACUGACGCUGAUGGACGAAAGCGUGGGGAGCGAACAGGAUUAGAUACCCGCGUAGUCCCUGUCUCUUAUAA
Molecule: ribosomal RNA, 301 nt
Filed under: uncultured bacterium
Lineage: Bacteria
Description: partial 16S ribosomal RNA
Rfam family: Bacterial small subunit ribosomal RNA
Source: RNAcentral